AUCAAAUGAUUUUGAGUAGGUGGAUGGGUGAACUAUGCCAUUGUUGUUUUGUUUUUUGUUUUUUUUUUAGAUCAGGGAAAUUAAAAGUGUUUGUAGACUUGAAACACACACAGACGCUGAAGUCCUAAGAGAAGCUUUACUACUUGUGUACGGUGGUAGGAAUUAAAAAGCUGAAUGCCUCUACUCAACAAUUUUUCACGGGUUUUGAUGUUGUAUGCGCCGGUAAGCGGUUUGGAUAAAGGGUGGGUCGAUGCGCUUGUAAAUAGACGAUGACAGAGGAGAACUAGAAGAAGAAGACUACAGCACACUUCGUUUCGUCGAACAUGGUGAUAAACGGAAGUGUCAGCAUGGUUUUAACUUUUGAAGAUGACUUUUUGUAACUUUCCCUGUGAUGUUCUGUUUAUACACAUGCUGAUCGGGCAUUGUGUGUUUGCUGUCAGCGCAACAGACUGUAGACCGGGAGAAUAUGAAACAAGCGACGGGCUGUGCUGCCCUAUGUGUAAAAAAGGCUCUGUUGUCAGAGGACACUGCACCGACUAGUUAUUCGGGACGUGUACACCCUGU
Long non-coding RNA from Lampris incognitus (smalleye Pacific opah), 564 nucleotides. RefSeq lists it as uncharacterized. NCBI's taxonomy places the organism in Eukaryota, Metazoa, Chordata, Actinopteri, Lampriformes, Lampridae. The record is from RefSeq and is a predicted model, not a curated record. The transcript has 3 exons.